This 334-nucleotide unclassified non-coding RNA is filed under the name soil metagenome. RNAcentral describes it as "partial contains 5.8S ribosomal RNA, internal transcribed spacer 2, and large subunit ribosomal RNA". The stretch from base 1 to 120 matches the Rfam family "5.8S ribosomal RNA", at positions 35 to 154 of the family's 154-position model. The record is from RNAcentral.
GAUGAAGAACGCAGCGAAAUGCGAUACGUAGUGUGAAUUGCAGAAUUCAGUGAAUCAUCGAAUCUUUGAACGCACAUUGCGCCUGCCAGCACUCUGGCAGGCAUGCCUGUUCGAGCGUCAUUUCAACCAUCAAGCCCUAGGCUUGCGUUGGAGCCCUGCGGCUGCCGCAGGCCCCUAAAAGCAGUGGCGGGCUCGCUAUCACACCGAGUGCAGUAGAUUACUCUUCGCUCAGGGCGUGUGGCGGGUUCCAGCCGUGAAACCCCCUACUUCUCAAGGUUGACCUCGGAUCAGGUAGGAAUACCCGCUGAACUUAAGCAUAUCAAUAAGCGGAGGA